Molecule: long non-coding RNA, 205 nt
Filed under: Gossypium raimondii (Peruvian cotton)
Lineage: Eukaryota; Viridiplantae; Streptophyta; Magnoliopsida; Malvales; Malvaceae
Description: long non-coding RNA (GRAI_LNC007507)
Source: RNAcentral
UUUAAUUUUAUUCUAGUUUCAAUCACACCUUUGACCCUUUAGCCCCCAUUUUUUCCAUAUAUACGUUUUUUUCUCUUUUUAAACUGCUUUUUUUUUAUAGUAUUUAGGAGUUCCUCUUAUAUAUUAUUUUAAACUGUUUUAAAUUCAUCAUUAUUUAUUUCAAGUUUUUUUUAUAUACGUUAUUUAUUUUAAAUAUAUAUAUACA